AAUGGGACCAUCUUUAGACAAGCAAAGAUGGAAGAGCAUAAUGCCUGGGGGUGGGGUAAUUAGUUGCGAUACGAGCUACGCAGCAUGCAAGGUUGACGUAUUGAAAUGGAGGAUGCACAUACGGCUGUGAUUGCUUUGCCAAGUGGACUUGAAAGGUGGUCAUUCUUUGCUGUGUAUAACGGGCAUCCUGGUUCUCAGGUUGCCAAAUACUGCUGUGAGCAUUUGUUAGAUCACAUCGCCGAUAACCAGGAUUUACAGGGUCUGCAGGAGCACCUUCUUUGGAAAAUGUAAAGAAUGGAAUCAGAACAGGUUUCCUGGAGAUUGAUGAACACGAGAGUUAUGUCAGAGAAGAAACAUGGUGCAGAUAGAAGUGGGUCAACAGAUGUAAGCGUCUUACUUUCUCCCCAACAUAAUUAUUUCAUUAACUAUGAAGACUCUAGACGUUUACUUUGUAGGAACAGGAAAGUUCAUUUCUUCACAAAUUGCAAAUCCGCUAGAAAAAGAAUGAAUUCAGAAUGCAGGUGGCUCUGUAAUGCUUUAGCAUGUGAAAGCCUCUCUGGCUGUAUCCAAAGCCCUUGGGGAUUUUGAUUACAAAUGUAUCCAUGGGAAAGGUCCUACUGGGCAGCUUGUCUCACCAGAGCCUGAAGUCCAUGACACUGAAAGAUCUGAAGAAGAUGAUCACUUCAUUAUCCUUGCAUGUGAUAGUAUCUGGGAUGUUAUGGGAAAUGAAGAGCUCUGUGAUUUUGUAAGAUCCAGGCUUGAAGUCACUGAUGACCCUGAGAAAGUUUACAAUGAAAUAGUCGACACCUGUUUGCAUAAGGGAAGUCAAGACAACAUGUGUGUGAUUUUUUUCUCUGGUUUCCAAAUGCACCCAAAGUAUCACCAGAAGCAGCGAAGAAGGAGGCAGAGUUGGGCAAGUACCUGGAAUGCAGAGUAGAAGAAAUCAUAAAGAAGCAGGGGGAAGGUGUCCCUGACUUAGUCCAUGUGGUGUACACAUUAGCCAAUGAGAACAUCCCCAGACUGCCACCUGGAGGUGAAUUGGCAAACAAGCAAAAUGUUAUUGAAGCCAUUUAUAAAAGACGGAAUCUUUAUAAAAAUGAUGACAGUGACUCCACAUCAACUGAUGCUAUGUGCU
This 1135-nucleotide long non-coding RNA is filed under the name Homo sapiens (human). RNAcentral's name for it is "non-protein coding lnc-MSR1-4:1". The record is from RNAcentral. Lineage: Eukaryota; Metazoa; Chordata; Mammalia; Primates; Hominidae.